RNAcentral lists this long non-coding RNA (1254 nucleotides) under Heterocephalus glaber (naked mole-rat). Its description in RNAcentral is "lncRNA (ENSHGLG00100038161.1)". The record is from RNAcentral. Lineage: Eukaryota; Metazoa; Chordata; Mammalia; Rodentia; Bathyergidae.
CCUGUAAUAUGCAAUCGCCCUGGAGUGCAGCCUUUCUCCUUUGUGCUCACAGAGGAGGCCAAUCAGACCUCAGUUCUCCUCUGGUCUCCGACAAGAAUCCACAUUGUGGAUUUGCAGAGAGGUACCAUGAAGUAGCCGUCCAGUGGUUCUGUUUUAGAACCCGGGGUUCAGGCAGAGGAAGAGGACCACACCUUGCCUGAUGAAGAGGUGCCAAUUGUGUGGCAUUUUCCCAUGUUGGAAGAAGAUCCCGGCCCCAGACUUCCUAUGUGCUGAAUGCCGGUCCUACCUUGGGCUGAUGACAUGCAAAGCAAACUCCAGUGGGAUUUCUUGACAGAGCCUUAUCUUGGGAAGGAGAAGCCAUCCAGAGUUCCAGGAGCUGGGUUUCAUUGUUAUCCCUCCUGGACCAGGAGCCACCUACCAGGUCUCUCCAUAGAAGGAAGAAACGAAGUUGCUGCCUUGAUAAAAGUAGUGAGGUUUGGGGGCUCAGGCAUGAUAUUGGGGACAGCAUGAGAUCCUGACUGAAAGCCUGGCACCCCUGGGACCUGGAUUGCGGCUCACGCUGAGGAAGCUCGGCUGGCUGGGUGCGUCGGGGAGAUGGUGUCCCGAGAACACCACGGCAAGGGGCAGACGGAGCCUUUCCCUGAGGGGCGGCCAGGCAGCAGUGAGGAGGCCAGAGCGGAGGAAGUUGCUGAUUGUCCGCCAGCUCCCAGGAGCACCCAGCAGAGGUUACAGUGAGAACCAGCCAGAUGUGGGCUCAGUGGCUGUACCCACCUGCAGGUGGCCAGGACACGAGUUAAGUGAGUGUUUACAUGAAGGCAUUCUGAUGGGGUGAAAGUGCUGUAGCCAACUCCAGUGUACCCCACUCUGCUACCUCUUUGUGAUCCCCAGCCUCAGUUUCCCCGUUUGUGAAAUGAGAAUGAUGAGAGUGAGCUCCUUCACCAGGAUUGUUCUGAGGAUCAAAUGAUGUGUACAUUCACAUAUAUUUUAUUCCUGUGAUAUUCAGCGAUAUCCACUGUCAUAAAGCCGAGAGUGCUGCUGUUGGUUGCUGACUCCUGGCCUUGGUAUUCAGUGUUGUACGCCCGGGAGGCUGAGGCUUGUAUCUGGCUGAGGGGGUAAAUGAAGGCUCCUUCCAGGUUCCAGACUUUCUCGUUAGUGCUCAAAGCAUGAUUGUGCAAAGACCAGUUGGGAACACGCCCACGGACAUACUGUAAAAGACUGCCCGGAGCCAAGAGCCAGGGAGGCAGCUGAGCUAUG